RNAcentral lists this ribosomal RNA (275 nucleotides) under uncultured Phenylobacterium sp. Its description in RNAcentral is "partial 16S ribosomal RNA". It matches the Rfam family "Bacterial small subunit ribosomal RNA", at positions 338 to 630 of the family's 1533-position model. Lineage: Bacteria; Pseudomonadati; Pseudomonadota; Alphaproteobacteria; Caulobacterales; Caulobacteraceae. The record is from RNAcentral.
CCUACGGGUGGCUGCAGUGGGGAAUCUUGCGCAAUGGGCGAAAGCCUGACGCAGCCAUGCCGCGUGAAUGAUGAAGGUCUUAGGAUUGUAAAAUUCUUUCACCGGGGACGAUAAUGACGGUACCCGGAGAAGAAGCCCCGGCUAACUUCGUGCCAGCAGCCGCGGUAAUACGAAGGGGGCUAGCGUUGCUCGGAAUUACUGGGCGUAAAGGGCGCGUAGGCGGGUCGUCAAGUUGGGGGUGAAAGCCCGGGGCUCAACCUCGGAAUUGCCUUCAA